Molecule: ribosomal RNA, 301 nt
Filed under: uncultured bacterium
Lineage: Bacteria
Description: partial 16S ribosomal RNA
Rfam family: Bacterial small subunit ribosomal RNA
Source: RNAcentral
CAGCAGCCACGGUAAUACAGAGGAUGCAAGCGUUAUCCGGAAUGAUUGGGCGUAAAGCGUCUGUAGGUGGCUUUUCAAGUCCGCCGUCAAAUCCCAGGGCUCAACCCUGGACAGGCGGUGGAAACUACCAAACUGGAGUACGGUAGGGGCAGAGGGAAUUUCCGGUGGAGCGGUGAAAUGCGUUGAGAUCGGAAAGAACGCCAACGGCGAAGGCACUCUGCUGGGCCGACACUGACACUGAGAGACGAAAGCUAGGGGAGCGAACAGGAUUAGAUACCCCGGUAGUCCCUGUCUCUUAUAC